RNAcentral lists this ribosomal RNA (509 nucleotides) under uncultured bacterium. RNAcentral describes it as "partial 16S ribosomal RNA". It matches the Rfam family "Bacterial small subunit ribosomal RNA", at positions 28 to 507 of the family's 1533-position model. The record is from RNAcentral.
GACGAACGCUGGCGGCGUGCCUAACACAUGCAAGUCGAGCGAACAGAGGUGGAAGCUUGCUUCUAUCAAUCUUAGUGGCACACGGGUGAAUAACGCGUAAUCAACCUGCCCUUCAGUGGGGUACAACCGUUGGAACCGACUGCUAAUACCGCAUACGAUCUAAUCUCAUCAUCCAGGAUUGAUGAAAGGUGUCGUCUACAUGUAAGCUAUCACUGACGGAGGGGUUUGCGCUUGGUUAGCUAGUUGGUUGGCUAAGGGCCUACAAAGGCAAGGCUCGGUGGCCGUCCUGGGGGAGUGACCGGCCAAAUUGGAACUGGGAAACGGCCAGACUCCUACGGGAGGCAGCAGUGGGGAAUCUUCCGCAAUGGACGGAAGGCUGAAGGAGCAAAGCCGCGUGAGUGAUGACGGCCUUCGGGUUGUAAAGCUCUGUUAAUCGGGACGAAAGGCAUUCUUGCGAAUAGUGAGAAGGAUUGACGGUACCGGAAUAGAAAGCCACGGCUAACUACGUG